GUUGAGGUCUAUCCCGAUGGUACUUCGAUGUAAGUUCAUAUCGUUGGAAACGCCUCAGAGAUAAAAGUUGCAGUUUGCUUUGCCUUCUAAACUUUGUAAUUAGUUGGCUAUGACUGCAUAACAGCA
This is a small nucleolar RNA of Pseudophryne corroboree (corroboree frog), 126 nucleotides long. The record is from RefSeq and is a predicted model, not a curated record. Lineage: Eukaryota; Metazoa; Chordata; Amphibia; Anura; Myobatrachidae.